GAUGAACGCUGGCGGCGUGCUUAACACAUGCAAGUCGAACGGAAAGGCCCAAGCUUGCUUGGGUACUCGAGUGGCGAACGGGUGAGUAACACGUGGGUGAUCUGCCCUGCACUUCGGGAUAAGCCUGGGAAACUGGGUCUAAUACCGGAUAGGACCACAUUUUGGAUGGUGUGGUGGAAAGUUUUUCGGUGUGGGAUGAGCUCGCGGCCUAUCAGCUUGUUGGUGGGGUAAUGGCCUACCAAGGCGUCGACGGGUAGCCGGCCUGAGAGGGUGUACGGCCACAUUGGGGCUGAGAGACGGCCCAGACUCCUCCGCGAGGCAGCAGUGGGGAAUAUUGCACAAUGGGCGCGAGCCUGAGGCAGCGACGCCGCGUGGGGGAUGACGGCCUUCGGGUUGUAAACUCCUUUCGCUAGGGACGAAGCGUGUUUGUGACGGUACCUGGAGAAGAAGCACCGGCUAACUACGUG
RNAcentral lists this ribosomal RNA (467 nucleotides) under uncultured bacterium. RNAcentral describes it as "partial 16S ribosomal RNA". It matches the Rfam family "Bacterial small subunit ribosomal RNA", at positions 28 to 507 of the family's 1533-position model. The record is from RNAcentral.